Molecule: long non-coding RNA, 1209 nt
Organism: Piliocolobus tephrosceles (Ugandan red Colobus)
Lineage: Eukaryota; Metazoa; Chordata; Mammalia; Primates; Cercopithecidae
Exons: 4
Source: RefSeq, a predicted model, not a curated record
CGCAGCCUCCAAACCCAGCAUCCGGGAGCUGUGGGAAUGGCCCCAGACGUGGAUGGCCUCCUUUUGAUCAGACUGCUCCUGACCCUGAGGGGCACGAGAAACCACUGUGGAUUCCCCUGGUGGCUCUACCCCCGCCACUCACAGAGCUCAGGGACCUACUGAAAUAAAGAACUCAAAAGCUCCCCCAGGCCUCCAGAGGAUCUCUGAAGCGUCUGAGAGCAACCGGGAAGUUGUUUCCUCCUCGCUCUGGCCCUGUACCCCGCCUUUGAUUUCCCUGUGACCUUUGACAGUCGUCUUCUGGCCGCCUGAGAUAAGGGAACUGUGUCACUGCUGCUCUGAGUGAUAGCAAGGAAGUGAUGUCAAGAUGCUGAGACCUGCCAAGACCCUCUGGCUUGUGGCAUGUGACACUCCGAGUAGGUGACAGGUAUCAGCUACCGUCAGCAGAGAGGAAUGUUCAUGGUGACCACAAGUCCAGACCUGAGGGUCCUGAUCCUCUAACGUGGCCUCUCACCAGUGUUUACAGAAGCCCACCGGCUGAUUCGAUAUGGGGACCAGGAAGCUGCCGUGAGAGUCACAGCUUCCCUCUUGUCUGGAGGAAAAAGGAAAAAGGGAACCAGACUUAGACACAACUUCUUGUGGGCACAUAUUCAGAAGGCAUUUCACUGGAGAGGAUUUAGUUCUCCUUAGCAGAAGAUAAGAUUUCAGGAUUUCAGCUAAGACUCAUCUCUCUGCACAUCUUUCUUUUGAGAGAAUCUGUUAGAAAAUGUAAAGAAUCAAGGAUAUUAGAGGUAGAAGAACAUUUACAUUCAUCUAGUCAAAAGCCCACAUUUGAGUAAAAGAAAUUACUAUCCAAGAAGCAAAUGAUUUGUACAAGAUCACAGGGCUUUUCAACAGUAAGGCUAAAAAGCAUCUUCACCAGGAGGAGAUUCCAUCUCAAGGGACCACUUUCACUGCUCAUCUGUGAGAAGCAACUCUUCAUCUGUUCAAGUUUGAUCAUGAGAGUGCAGCAAUUCAGUCACAACUUCAGGCUCCACUUCUAGUUCUAGUUCUCUUGCUGUUUCCACCACAUCUACAGUGACUUCCUCCACUGAAGACGUGAACCCCUGAAAGUCACCUAUGGGGUUGGAAUCAAUGCCUUUCACACUCCUGUUAAUGUUGGUAUUUUGACCUCGUCCCAUGAAUUACAAAUGUUCCUAAUGGCAUCUAGAA